GGGUUGUGAGGUUAAGCGACUAAGCGUACACGGUGGAUGCCCUGGCAGUCAGAGGCGAUGAAGGACGUGCUAAUCUGCGAUAAGCGCCGGUAAGGUGAUAUGAACCGUUAUAACCGGCGAUACCCGAAUGGGGAAACCCAGUGUGACUCGUCACACUAUCAUUAACUGAAUCCAUAGGUUAAUGAGGCGAACCGGGGGAACUGAAACAUCUAAGUACCCCGAGGAAAAGAAAUCAACCGAGAUUCCCCCAGUAGCGGCGAGCGAACGGGGAGGAGCCCAGAGCCUGAAUCAGCAUGUGUGUUAGUGGAAGCGUCUGGAAAGGCGCGCGAUACAGGGUGACAGCCCCGUACACAAAAGCGCAUGUGCUGUGAGCUCGAUGAGUAGGGCGGGACACGUGGUAUCCUGUCUGAAUAUGGGGGGACCAUCCUCCAAGGCUAAAUACUCCUGACUGACCGAUAGUGAACCAGUACCGUGAGGGAAAGGCGAAAAGAACCCCGGCGAGGGGAGUGAAAAAGAACCUGAAACCGUGUACGUACAAGCAGUGGGAGCACAGGUUUACCUGUGUGACUGCGUACCUUUUGUAUAAUGGGUCAGCGACUUAUAUUCUGUAGCAAGGUUAACCGAAUAGGGGAGCCGGAGGGAAACCGAGUCUUAACCGGGCGUUAAGUUGCAGGGUAUAGACCCGAAACCCGGUGAUCUAGCCAUGGGCAGGUUGAAGGUUGGGUAACACUAACUGGAGGACCGAACCGACUAAUGUUGAAAAAUUAGCGGAUGACCUGUGGCUGGGGGUGAAAGGCCAAUCAAACCGGGAGAUAGCUGGUUCUCCCCGAAAGCUAUUUAGGUAGCGCCUCGUGAAUUCAUCUCCGGGGGUAGAGCACUGUUUCGGCUAGGGGGCCAUCCCGGCUUACCAACCCGAUGCAAACUGCGAAUACCGGAGAAUGUUAUCACGGGAGACACACGGCGGGUGCUAACGUCCGUCGUGAAGAGGGAAACAACCCAGACCGCCAGCUAAGGUCCCAAAGUCAUGGUUAAGUGGGAAACGAUGUGGGAAGGCCCAGACAGCCAGGAUGUUGGCUUAGAAGCAGCCAUCAUUUAAAGAAAGCGUAAUAGCUCACUGGUCGAGUCGGCCUGCGCGGAAGAUGUAACGGGGCUAAACCAUGCACCGAAGCUGCGGCAGCGA
RNAcentral lists this ribosomal RNA (1180 nucleotides) under Salmonella enterica subsp. enterica. RNAcentral's name for it is "bacterial LSU rRNA". It matches the Rfam family "Bacterial large subunit ribosomal RNA", at positions 1 to 1211 of the family's 2925-position model. Lineage: Bacteria; Pseudomonadati; Pseudomonadota; Gammaproteobacteria; Enterobacterales; Enterobacteriaceae. The record is from RNAcentral.